This is a long non-coding RNA of Mustela erminea (ermine), 3944 nucleotides long. RefSeq lists it as uncharacterized. The record is from RefSeq and is a predicted model, not a curated record. Lineage: Eukaryota; Metazoa; Chordata; Mammalia; Carnivora; Mustelidae. The transcript has 5 exons.
AUAUGCCCAUCUCUGCGCGUGUUCAUGUGUGUGUCUCCGUGUGUAUGUGUCUGUGUUCAGCGGCGUGGGUGCACGCUGUUACUCCUUCCUCCCAGAACCCAAGCAGACGUCACCGAUCAAUUUCAUCAAGCCCCACACUCCUGUGUGGCGCGUCUCCCUAUGCUAGCCACGAACUGGGUUUGACCACUAGAGGAAACCGAGGUGCUUUUCCAGGUCUCCAGUGUCUAGGUCAAGGUGCUCAGACUGACAUCUCAUGCUUUCAGAGCCUGUCUUUAUUCCCUGCCAGAAACUUUCUGCCUCAAGCAAUUCCCUGAGCUCUAAAAAUGCCCAUUCCUCCCUGAGCUUUUGAAGUUUUCUUCUCAGCUGACAGGGGACUUGUUAAGCAUCUGCUUUCUGGAAUCAGCCUCCAUGGGUUUAAUUCUUGCUCUGCUAUCUCUGAGUCAGGCAGCUCCAAGCCCAUCAUUCAACGACAGAGCCUCACCUUCCUCUUCUGGAAUUCGCAGAGGCUCAUCCUAACACUACUUCACAGGGGUGACGAGGGCAAAACAAGAUGACCCAGGUAAGGUCCCCAGCCCAGAGUCCACCCCCAGUGAGCUCCGUGUGUGGAAGUGGCAAUGACUGUUCACUGUGUUCUGACACUGCAUGUGGCCACUGACAUACGGUCAGUCUCAGUGUGUGUGUGGGUCACCUUUACCUGCUUUGCACAAGGUGGGAGGUGCCACUGGUGACACUGCCCACAUCUCCAGACAUGAGGGGACCAAAGUUUGCCGGAGCUGGGAGCCUGGGUGCUCCUGAGGGCAGAGACUCUCAGCCAGCGUGUGCAGGAUGAAUGGGGAGCAGGAAGGGGCUGAGACGCCACUGGAUCUUUCUCUUGCAGGCCUGGGGUCAGCACUGAGGGUCGGGGACCAGGAAAAAUACUGGUCUAGGAGGUCAGGGAACAGCUUAACACCUGCCUGGUGGCUACCUGUAGGGCCCUCAGUGGCCAGUUACGGAGGACAGGUGUUCCAGCAUCGGCUGUACUGAUGUUUUGGACCGAAUGAUUCUCUAUUGUGGGGCUGUUCUGUGCUCUGCAGAUGCUUAGCAGCCCCUGAGCCUCUGCCCAUCACAUGACAGGAGCAGCCCCCAUUGCCAGUCAGGGUAAUCAGAAAGGUCUCCAGGCAUUGCCAGAUAUUCUCUGGAAGACGCUACGCGGCCAGUUGAGAACCACUGGGUCAUGACUCCAGUGAUCAGCUGUGCUCCCAGAUCUUGGCUGGGUGAAAGCCCCCCGUCAAUAAGGCAAAGGCUGGGAAAGGUGGGCCUGUCCUUCCACCUGCAGAAUAAACCAAUAAUCUGGAAUUUUCGAGGCUUGGCAUGGGGUUGCUGAGAUGCAUCCCACGCCCUAUCCAAAAUCUUAGGCACUAACUUGGACCUAUGGGGACAAGGACAAAGCCUAGGAGCUCUCGACUAAGGUAAUGUCCUCUUUGUGUUACCAGGUGAGUAGGGACUGGGUUGUGUUGGGAGGGGGAGGAGGAGACUUGGGAUAUUUCUGGGAUUUGGGAGACUGUGCCGUCUGGUCUGGGGUCAGGCUGACACCUAGGGCACAGGCUUGUGUGGCCAACAAAACCUGGGUCUUCCCUUUUUCCCUUCCUUACCUGUGUAAUUCAGCUCUGUGGGCCCAACUUGGUUCAGAUCCUCCCGAAGGCCUCUCUGGCACCUGUCCUCUCCAGCUGCCUUAGGGUCCUUCUCUGGUUUUCCCCCAUCCCCGUCCCUAAGCAUAGCACGUUCUGCCUGACCAAAGAGCCACAGCCUCUGCUAUCUGGUCCACUUUUGUGCACCCAGUACCUAGCAAGAGGACCUGACACAGAGGCCUCUUUAUUCCCAGCAGUUGGCUGAUGGCCCACUAGGGCCUAAGCCCCCCAGCCAAGCACAAAUCAUUUCCAGCCCCGGAAAGGGUCGCAAGGGGUGUCGGUGCAUCACAGAAUGGGGACAUCUAGUCUGCUGGUCAUGGUUGAGGUUUCGUGUCCCUCUCGUGUCCCCAUAGAGGGACCAGUCGUCCCGGUUCACCCAGAACUAAGGGGUUUCUUGAGACAGGGAAUGUCAACAUUGAAAGAGGCAAAGUGCUGGACAAAUCAGGACGAGACGGAUAUUCUAGUGCGUGCACCUGCCUGGAAGAUUGACUCUAGCCACACAGUUUACAUCCUGGAACAAGGCGCCAAGGUAGUGUCAGAGUUAAAAACCCGUUUGACAGGGCCAGGUACGGGGGCUGGAACCCAAGGGAUCCAUCAUCUCACACCCUCAUGGCCAGAACCAACCGCCAGGUUCUAGGUUCUCAGAAGCUGCCCAACUUCCUGGGAACCACGCAUCCCUCCUCCCUCCCGGGAGCCCAAAUUCCAAGAAAUGCAGCUAAAAUUGGCCCUCGAACAGCUUUUGCAGAGCACGUCGCGGCUUUUUUUGGGUCUAGAGAGCCGGUUUCCAUGAUGAAAGUGGCACAGAAGGAGAGACCCAGCUAAAAACAGCCACCGCCCAGACUGGUUGUUCGCAGGAUGCCGCCUCCCCAGCCUCUUGCGGGGUUUGGACGCCUCACUUCCGCAGCCGCCGCCGCCGCCCGUCGCCACUAGGUGGCAGCAUCGCAGCGCGCGGCGGGGACGGCGCCCCGGGCCGGCGGCCGAGAGCCGCUCCUGAAAAUGCUGCCCAUAAAAUACGCACCAGCCACAAAAUUCUCCACUAAAUUAUUUCCCUUUCAUUUGGGGUCAUUUGUGUGCUUUGCAGGAGCUCCGUGGAAGGGUCUCUUCGACGGGCCGACCUAGUGCCGCCCAGGCACCGCUGGAGUCUGCUCCCUGCGCCCCGGGGUGUCCCUGACGCGGGCCGAUCCCCCCACCAGCCCCCCGGACUUAGCAGGGUCAUCUUGCCUCGGGUCCCACGUCGCAGCAGAAGUUUGAAAUUUUCCAGAAGAAGUGGCGUAGCCCUGGGGGAGGGGAACGCCCCCAUUUGGGGCCUGUGGUCCUGCCCUGCAGAGCCCCUGGCUUCCCUGUGUGGGCCUCAGGGAUGGAGUUUUGGCUCAGGAGUGUGACUGCCUUGCUCUUAGGUCCCCAAAUCGUGGGGGGAACAGGGCCCCGGGGGCACCCACCUCUGAGGCCACGGUGAUGUGAACGGGACGGUGCCUGCCGCCUCUCAAGGGCUCCCAGUCCGAACUACUUGUCAUGGUUCCUCAGCGUCCCCAGGGGCUGGUAUGAUGGUCGCCCCACAAAGAGUAACUCAGUGGGUCUCACGGCCCUUGUUUCAGAGGCAAGAGGGGGAGGUGGAGAUCAUCUCCAAGGCCUUGCUUCUCAAAGCCUAGUUCGAGGCUGGCAGCAGGCAACACAGGUAUCCUCCUUCGAAACGGGGUCUUGGCCCCAUCAGGCCCACGGAGCCAGACCCUCCCUUCACAGCACCCACAGGGGCUUCGUGGCACCCUGAGGUUGAAGCUCCAAGGCACCUUCCAGCCUCGGUGGGCUGGGAUUCCGCACCCACGUCCCAGCUUUCUGCAGCUGCCUGGGUGCUCUGGUGUGACGGGAGGUGACAGGCUGCGGUGGGCCUGGCUGGGCUCCUUGCACUCCCGCAAGCGCCCAGAUCUGGCUCACCACGUGCCUGCAGAUCCUGCUGGCUCCCUCCGGCCUGGCCACAGCAGUCUCCAUCCUCCCAGUGACUCUGGGACCACGAACUGACACUGUCUUGACCCUGUCCACCCUGGAAGGUCCGGCUCCAAAGCAGCGGCACUGGGCAUGGCUCGUCAGCACUGAUAGAACCCGCCGUGUGCCGGGAUGGUGUCCUUGUUCCCGGGCCGCUCACGAGUGACUAACCCAGCCUGCUGGGAUCCGAAGCACCUCGAGAGCUUUCAAGGCGCCACGAGAAUCACCCGAGAGCUUGUCGGGAUGCAGAUGCGGAUUCUCCAGGUCUGGGAUGGAGCCCAACCAAGACUCUGCAUU